Molecule: ribosomal RNA, 382 nt
Filed under: Bathycoccus sp.
Lineage: Eukaryota; Viridiplantae; Chlorophyta; Mamiellophyceae; Mamiellales; Bathycoccaceae
Description: partial small subunit ribosomal RNA
Rfam family: Eukaryotic small subunit ribosomal RNA
Source: RNAcentral
AUUCCAGCUCCAAUAGCGUAUAUUUAAGUUGUUGCAGUUAAAAAGCUCGUAGUUGGAUUUUGGUUAAGAGGGCGCGGUCGGCCGUUUGGUCUGUACUGCGUUGUCUUGACUUCCUGAUGAGGACAUGCUCUUGGUUAACGCUGAGACAUGGAGUCAUCGUGGUUACUUUGAAAAAAUUAGAGUGUUCAAAGCGGGCUUACGCUUGAAUAUAUUAGCAUGGAAUAACACUAUAGGACUCCUGUCCUAUCUCGUUGGUCUCGGGAUGGGAGUAAUGAUUAAGAGGAACAGUUGGGGGCAUUCGUAUUUCAUUGUCAGAGGUGAAAUUCUUGGAUUUAUGAAAGACGAACUUCUGCGAAAGCAUUUGCCAAGGAUGUUUUCAUUA